GAUGAACGCUGGCGGCGUGCCUAAUACAUGCAAGUCGAGCGAACAGACGAGGAGCUUGCUCCUCUGACGUUAGCGGCGGACGGGUGAGUAACACGUGGAUAACCUACCUAUAAGACUGGGAUAACUUCGGGAAACCGGAGCUAAUACCGGAUAAUAUAUUGAACCGCAUGGUUCAAUAGUGAAAGACGGUUUUGCUGUAACUUAUAGAUGGAUCCGCGCCGCAUUAGCUAGUUGGUAAGGUAACGGCUUACCAAGGCAACGAUGCGUAGCCGACCUGAGAGGGUGAUCGGCCACAGUGGAGCUGAGACACGGUCCAGACUCCUACGGGAGGCAGCAGUAGGGAAGCUUCCGCAAUGGGCGAAAGCCUGACGGAGCAACGCCGCGUGAGUGAUGAAGGUCUUCGGAUCGUAAAACUCUGUUAUUAGGGAAGAACAAAUGUGUAAGUAACUAUGCACGUCUUGACGGUACCUAAUCAGAAAGCCACGGCUAACUACGU
RNAcentral lists this ribosomal RNA (496 nucleotides) under uncultured bacterium. Its description in RNAcentral is "partial 16S ribosomal RNA". It matches the Rfam family "Bacterial small subunit ribosomal RNA", at positions 28 to 506 of the family's 1533-position model. The record is from RNAcentral.